RNAcentral lists this unclassified non-coding RNA (293 nucleotides) under uncultured fungus. RNAcentral describes it as "partial contains 5.8S ribosomal RNA, internal transcribed spacer 2, and large subunit ribosomal RNA". Lineage: Eukaryota; Fungi. The record is from RNAcentral.
AACGCAUAUUGCGCCUGUCGCCUUCGGGCAAGGGCAUGUCUGCCUCAGCGUCUUUCACACCCCUCUCCCCCGUUCCAUGGGAGGAGGAUCUGGCCCAGCGCCCGCUCCGCGGACGCCCGGCCGAAAAGCAGCGACGUGCGUGGGACCGCUCAUGCGGGCUUCAGCUUGGUAGGCCUUCUCCCCUCGUACGAGGGGGCAAAGCAUGCCGCUGCUGCCCGUGGACCCGUGCGCCGUCGAGCAGGGAACCUUCAACUCUAGACCUGAGGUCAGGCAAGACCACCCGCUGAACUUAA